GAUGAACGCUGGCGGCGUGCCUAAUACAUGCAAGUCGAGCGAACGGACGAGAAGCUUUUUUCUCUGACGUUAGCGGCGGACGUGUGAGUAACACGUGUAUAACCUACCUAUAAGACUGGGAUAACUUCGGGACACCGGCUCUUAUACCGGAUGAUAUUUUGAACCGCAUGGUUCAAACGUGAAAGGCGGUUUUGCUGUCACUUAUAGAUGGAUCCGCGAUGCAUUAGCUAGUUGGUAAGGUAACGGCUUACAAAGGCAACGAUGCGUAGCCGACCUGUGAGGGUGAUCGGCCGCCCUGGAAGUGUAAAGCGCUCCUUGAUGCUACGGGACGCAGCAGUAGGGAAGCUGCCGCAAAUGGGGAGAGCCUGACGGAGCGACGCGGUGUCAGGGAUGACGCUGUUCGGGGCGUGAAUCUCUGUUAUUAGGGUGGAACAGCUUUGGCAGUGCCUGAGGAUUGCGUGACGGUACCUGAUCAGGAAGCCACGGCUAACUACGUG
RNAcentral lists this ribosomal RNA (497 nucleotides) under uncultured bacterium. RNAcentral's name for it is "partial 16S ribosomal RNA". It matches the Rfam family "Bacterial small subunit ribosomal RNA", at positions 28 to 507 of the family's 1533-position model. The record is from RNAcentral.